CCAUGGGGCAGGCUCUGGGCCCUGGAUGUCUCCCCCCACAUCUCGGAGCAGUGGUGGUGUAUGCCGCCUUUGUCUUCCAGGGCUUCGGAAAGGCAGCUCAAACGACAUGCGGGCCUCCCUCAUGCUGACGAGUGCUGUGGACAAUUCGGAUGACAGUCAGCCACUGCGCCCAAGGGAGCUCCGCGCUCAGAAGCUCCCUGUCAGAUGCCAGGGGACAUGGCACCUUCCUUGUGGGGUCUCACUCUUCCUGCUCGAUCUCUCCAGCAGCCGUGUAUUGCUCCUGCAGUGUGGAGGGAGCAAAGCCAGCUCUGCAGCUGCCGUAGAUCUGCUCUUUCCCAAGAGGCAAAUGCAGCUCUGCUCCACUGUGCAUUCUCUGCAAGUUGGGUACACGCAUCGCUUGAACCAGAAACAUCAACUUAAAAAUGGCUGUGAUGGCGGCGCCUGGGUGGCGCAGUCGUUAAGCGUCUGCCUUCGUCUCAGGGCGUGAUCCCGGCGUUAUGGGAUCGAGCCCCACAUCAGGCUCCUCCGCUAUGAGCCUGCUUCUUCCUCUCCCACUCCCCCUGCUUGUGUUCCCUCUCUCGCUGGCUGUCUCUCUCUCUGUCAAAUAAAUAAAUAAAAUCUUUAAA
RNAcentral lists this long non-coding RNA (626 nucleotides) under Ursus maritimus (polar bear). RNAcentral's name for it is "lncRNA (ENSUMAG00000020113.1)". Lineage: Eukaryota; Metazoa; Chordata; Mammalia; Carnivora; Ursidae. The record is from RNAcentral.